This is a long non-coding RNA of Acinonyx jubatus (cheetah), 7494 nucleotides long. RefSeq lists it as uncharacterized. The record is from RefSeq and is a predicted model, not a curated record. Lineage: Eukaryota; Metazoa; Chordata; Mammalia; Carnivora; Felidae. The transcript is spliced from 4 exons.
CCCAGGCGCCCCCAUUCAAAAUGUAUUUUCAAAUGUACCUCUAUCUUGUCCCAAAAUAAAUUCCAGUAUCUUUUAUGUUAAGUGGUACAUUUCUCUCCCACUGACUUAGAAGUUCUGUCUGUCUCAUCACCUGAGUGUCUCUUUGAACUUGAGUCUCUACCUCAUGGUUUAAGUCGUGGUGUUUUAUGAUAAAAAAUGCCAGAGCUGUUCCCCGAUGACUUCCGGGUUUCUUUUGGAAUGUUCCUCCCUAUGCCUGCCUGGUGAUUUUCUCCAACUGCUGGUAACCCUUCUAAAAAGUUUGAUGGUUGUAUUUUGGAGACCGCAUCGAAUGUAGAUUGGCACAGGCAGGGCGGACAUCUGGCGCAUGUGGCUUCCUCCUGUCCCCGAGGAUGGGAACGUCGAAGUUUGCGAUGUAGAUUUUGUCGUUAGUAUCGGCACUGUAUAUGGAUUUUUUUUUUUUUCCUCCUGAGGAUUGUUUAAACAUAGGAAAGCCCUUGAUUUUUCUACUUAGUUUUGUACCCCAGCUACCCUGCUGAAUUCUGUGGUCUGGGGGUUUUGAACCUUGGGCCUCAGAAUUCUCUAGAAAGCCUCCUGAGGUGCAGAUGGCAGGGCUGGGGAGGGACCUGAGAGUGGGCCUUUGUAAGGAGUCCCCAGGCUUAGUGUUUUGGCCCCUGUGAUUUCUUCUUUUUCCCUCCAGCCUUAUUGAGAUCUGACGGAUACAGGAGUCUGUGCAAGUUUGAGAGGUAGGUACAUACAGCGUGUUGAAUGCAAUCGUAAACGAUUGUGUACCUGGAAAUGAGGAUAAUUUCCCUACUCUGCACUUUCUAGGCCUUUUGUUCUUUCUCUUAAUUGUAUCAGCAAAUUCUUUAAGAACUUCAAUAGCAGUGAUAGGCCCUCACCAUUCCUGACUUUGAUGGAAAUGCACCUGGCCUUUUACCAUGAAGCAGGGUGCUUUUCAGAUACAUCUCCACGUAAAGGAAGGAUCCAUCUGUAAUUACGUUAAAAGUUUCCGUCUAGAUGGUGAAUGUUAAAAAAAGGUUUUCCCUUUUAAAUAAGGAACCCAAAUCAGUAGGGCUCUAGCUGCUGAGCAGUGUUGUAUUUAUUUUUUCUUUAAUUUUUUUUAACGUUUUUAUUUAUUUUUGAGACAGAGAGAGACAGAGCAUGAGCAGGGGAGGGGCAGAGAGAGAGGGAGACACAGAAUCCACAGCCUCCAGGCUCCGAGCUGUCAGCACAGAGCCCGACAUGGGGCUCGAACUCACUGCGAGAUCAUGACCUGAGCUGAAGUCGGACGCUUAACCGACUAAGCCACCCAGGCACCCCAAGCUGGUUUGUAUUUAAACUGCCAAGCUUCGAAUGUGUGAAUUCAGUUGGACUGGGUUCAGUACGUGUGUGUGCAACUAGGUUAGUCUGGGGCGUCUGGGGGGCUCAGUCGGUUAAGAAUAAAAUCCAUGCUGACGAUUUUUUAUAUCCUGGUAAGUUUUUCAUCUUAUGCAAGUUUUCGAGUUAACUUACGUACGUUUGACCAGACUACGUGAAAUCUUUUGAGCUGUGGCUUUUUACUUCCAUUUUCCCUACAUUAUGUUGUAGCAAUUCUGUUUUUCUUUUAAAUUAAUUUUGCUUUUAUAGCAUCUCCUGCUGUUCGUUUCUUUUUCCAGUUUGAGUCGAUUGUUAAGUUCCUACAUGAAGAAUGGAAGUAAAUGCAUAUAUAGAGGUAUCACUUUCCUCUUUGAGCUCUGCCUUCUUUGGUAUACUGCAUAGACUCUGAUACAUGUGUUCUGGGUUCGUGGUUGGCUUCUAGAUUUUCUUUUUUAAAUCUUUAUUUCUCUUAGAGAGAGACACACACAGGGGAGGGGCAGACAGAGGGAGGCGCAGCAUCCGAAGCAGGCUCCAGGCUCCGAGCUGUCAGCACAGGGCCCGACGCGGGGCUCGAACUCACGAACCGUGAGAUCGUACGACCUGAGCCGAAGUCGGAGGCUCAACCGACGGAGCCCCCCGCAGGCGCCCCCGUACUCAGAGCUUUCCACUUGGAGCCAAGAGUUUAAAAAUGUUUGUGGGCUGGAGAAUUUUCCUACAAAUGGGGCUGUUCACUUUCAGUUUUAAUAAAUAGUAAUUAGGGGAGCCACCUAUGUCCUGUCUACUUGGGAUUGUGGUUUUAGUUGUGCCCUUCCCUGUGACCAGGUAGAGUCUCUGAAUGAAUUCCCUGUGUGUCUUCCUACAUUUGCCGUACGGUGCCCUGUGAGUGUGGAUGUUGAGUUGCCCUGUGCCCAGGCCCGUUGGACUUUCAGUGGUGAAUAUAUCUCCUUGAAUUCCCUGCCCUGCCUUCCCUCAUGCUUUUGGCUUCGAUUUUAAUCUUGCCUGCCGUUAAUGAUGUCACGUGGCUGUGUGUAUUACUUGGAGUUUGCCUGGUAUAUUUUAGCUUGAUUUUUCUGAGUCUUUUUUUCUUAUAAACUGUAUUUUGACGUAACUUGAAUCGACCUAGAGGCUGCAAAACUGGUGCUGAGAGUUCCUGGGCACUCCUCUCCCAGGUUCGCCUAAUGAAAACAUCUUCCCUCAUCAGAGCACAGCCACCCAAGCAGGACGCUGGCAUCGGCACGAUAUCAGCAACGACGCAUAGACCUUAUUCGAAUGCCGCCAGUUUUUCCAAAGCCCCUGCUUUUAGGCACACUCAAGGCUAGGGGCACAGUCUUCCAGAUGGCAAAGUCUGCCCAAGCCUCCCGACACCCACUCCGCGGUCCGAGGGCCCCCCAAGCCGCCCUCAGGUUGGACAGUUUGCUGAAGAGACAGAACUCACCGAAACCUGUUAGACUGUUGGUCAAGCUUGUUACGGGGGAGGAUACACAUCAGCGCCAGCCGCGGGGUGGACCGGCAGUGUUCCAAGAACAGAGUUUCUGGUCAUCCUCACUGAGCCCGACGGUGGUCUUGGGGACCCCUGCCAUCAGUCCUGGGAAACUUGAUCACGUGUAGAGAUUGACGUGACCCUCGCUACCGUCACGAUCCAGAACUGUCCCAUUUGCCUCCCAAACUCCUUCCUGCUCCCCCUCUUCCAGUACUGCCCUCCUAACGCUGACCCCUGACAACCUGUCAUCCGCUCUGUCACCUUGUCACUUCGAGGAUGUUAGGUAAAUGGAACCGUACCAUACGUCACCAGUAAGACGGGUUUCUGCCACUCGGCGUGAUACCCAGGGGACCCACCCUGGAUGCGACGUGGACGCUCCUGAGCCCUCCACUGUGGGGGGGCCGCUCGUCGGCAGAAGGAGGCGUGGGUGGUUGUAAGAUGCGGCUCUUCCGAGUGACGCUGCCGUGGGCAUGAGGGUCUGUGCCUAGAGUGGCGAGGCUGGGUCACAGGCUAAGCGUUUGACCAGAUGGGACGCCAUCAGCCUGUUCUCCAGAGCGGCUGUGGUACCUCCCUGCCCUGUGACACAUCCGGGCACCGGUUGUCCCACAUCCUCGCCGGCCCUCAGUGUCCUUGGCGUGUUUUCAGCCAUUCGGAGAGGUGCAUUUACUGCCUUUAUGCCCUCUUAAGAGCUUGUGCCCUUUUUCUGUUUUUUUUGUUAAAUUUUAAUUUUUUUUUUUUUAAUUUUGGAUCAGCGUCGAUUGUUGGGUUUGUGAUUUGAAAAUACGUAUUUUCCAGUCUUUUUUUUUUUUUUUUUUAAUUCUCUCCACUAGUGACUUUCAUGGGCAAAAUGCUUUCACUUUUGGUGGAAUCCAGUUAGUUUUUUUCCUGGAUUAAAAAAACUUUUUUUUUUUUUUUUUUUAUUGAAGCCUCAUUUACCAUGGUAGGUUAGUUGCAGGUAUACAACACAAUGAUUCAACAAUUCUCUAUAUUUCUUGGAGUUCUUUAAGGUCUGUACCUAAAUUUUUUUUUUAAUUCCAGUAUAGUUGGAUUGCAGAGUGAUGUCAGUUGCAUGUGUACAAGAUGGUGACUCAGCACUUCUGUACGGCACCCCGUGUGCCUCAUGCAAGGUGUUGCCGUGCGGUCUCCAGAGCUCAGCCGGAGAGGUUGGGGUGGACGCGGGCCCGGGCCCAGGCUUCCUGCCGGUUUCCCAAGAAGCAGAUCAGGUGAGGGACCUACCGCACGGUGUCCUAAAAGCGUGCCUCGGGAGGGGGGCAAGGGGAGGGCCACAGUCAGAUAAAAAUAUAGAUUAUUGAGGGGUUGGACGCAGGUGGGGGCUGCUAUGCAUCUUCCUGGUGAACCUGGGCUUUCUCGGCUCUGGAACAGAACUUUUCGCAUAGUUUGAGCAGCUCUGACAAAAUGAACACGGAUGAAGCCAGUGCGGUUAAAAGCAACAAGUCUGCAAAAGGGUGAAAAGAAAAUGGGGGUCAGAGUGCACGGUGCCACCCUGAGGCUCCCUUCCCUACGUCUCCGCUUUGGUCGCAGAGAGCCCAGAGGUGAGGGGCAAGGACCCGGGAGCCGAGGACCAGGACUUCCCCUCCCGGGAGGGACGCAUGUCCGUGCAGCUCCACAGGACCACCCCGUCCUUCCAGGGGGCUCAGGACUGGGGUGGGGGUGCACUACCCCCUCCGGCAGUAACAGGACCCUCCCCCAUCCAUCCUGAGGGCAGACACCCCCCCAUCCCGGCCUCGUGCUCCGAGCAGUCGUGUCCAGCACCUCAGACCCGACCGUGUCAUGACCUGUGGCCAUGACCUACGCGGGCCUCCCCACCUGCUGGCUCCCACCACGUAAGUGGCUCCGGUCACUGCCGUUGCUCAGGUACCCUCCUCCCCCCACCCCUCCCCUCCUCCCACUUGUGUGCUCUGUUAGCUUCAGGCAAAGGCGGCCAGUCACCCCAGGCAGCUCACAAAGAAAAGGCUGGAAUCGCGUCCGCCUGGGCGGGGAGGCAGGGGAGCCCCAGGAUUCCACUCCGGGGCAGGUGCGCUCGGGGCCCUGGACGGCUGCGGUCAUUGAAUCAUGUUGUGUUUAGCCCGAGCUGCUGGGUGGCCUGCUCCCUGUCUUGGGGUCAGCGGGUGCCCAAGACCCACGAGCCCCCUGCCAGCAGGGGCAGAAUGAGCCGGGACUGUGACCCGCCAUGGCGCAGCCCCCGGGCCUUGCUGCAUCGCUCCGAGCCGCCAGCCCUGGGACAGGGGGGCCGGGAGGCCGUGUCCCCUUCUGCCCUCGGUGGCCCUCCCGGUGGAGAUGCCUCAUCCUCUGCUUCCCCGUGUACUCCAUGACCCCAUCACAUCGCCCUCCCACCCCGUGCGGCCGGCCGGGCACACGCAGGGACUUCGCACCUGGAACACCGCGUGUCGGCGCCUAGGCACCGGCCUCUGCUGACCCCUCACGUCCCCGCCCACUCACCGAGGGCACCCAGGUUCUCCGUCUGGAAGAUCUUCUGCAGGGGCGGGAUGUAAAUCACGGCCAGCUGGCCCAGAAUGGAGCCCAGCACCGAGUACAGGAACAUGGGGUUCCGCAGAAAGCCCAUCUCAAAUAUCAGCUUGGUCUGUGGGAGGAGAAGGGCACGUGUCAGCCGGGUCACAAGCCACGGCUCAGAGGGCGAUGCUUACAGAGGCCUACUCGGGCCGCGGCCGCACCAUUCGUCCCCGAGAGAGCGACUGGGUCCCGCCAGGAAGGGAGGGGAGGGCAGCCCAGGGCUCACCUGAGAGCGGCAGGUCAAGGCGUUGAAGAGGUCGAAGAACACAAAGCAGGUGAAGGUCAUGGUCGUGGUACGCGGGGUGCUCGCCUUGUCUGCGGGGAUCUGGAACACAGAGGAGCGCAGGGUGGGUGGGCCCCCGGGAAGGGGGGUGCUUCUCGUGAUGAUGAGCACGGAGGGAGCAGGAACUCGAGGGGCCUGGACCGCCCAGCAGAGAGCAGCUCUGCUAGGAACUGAUCACGACCGCCCCCUGGGCUGGAGUAAGGGGGGUGUCUCACGACCACCCCCCAUCCCUUCCUCCCCCCCCCCGAGCUGAAACCCUGCACAGGUAAAGGGAGCGUCCCUUCCUGCAGCAGGUGACAUUGCCUCCUGGGACAGGACAGGGCUAUAGCUGCAUCCACUGAGUGUCACGGACAGAGGACGCACACCCUCCCUGGUGCUGCUGUAGGGACCUGAGGCAGGUCUCCUCCCGGGCCUGGCCUGGAGCCAAGGUGGAGCACAGGCUGGACACGGGCGGCCACACCACCUUCCCGGGCAGAAGAUAAAGAGGGUCCCGCUGAUGAUGACAGCAGCCGACAGGAGGAUUUUCAGGAUCAGGGCUUUGCCGAGAAUCGUGUCCUUGACGUUCCGCGGUGGCUGUCGGAGGGCAUCUUUGUCAACCGGCUCUACCCCCAAGCUGCUCGGAACAAGACAGGGGAACCUUGACAUAAACCGCGAGGACACUUAAAGUGCUGAAGCUGUAGAGGCUCUCAGGUCAGCCCCGAAGACACAGCAAAGAGGGGGCUUUGGCCAAGUGCCCCCAGGUCGUCUGCAGGAGCUCAGUCUGGUCCCACUCUUAGGGGGACUUCUCCGUCCUUGCUGGAAGCCCGCCCCUCACAUCCUCUGCCCUCGCCCUAACUCCUUCGAGGGUCCCCACCACCCACCCCACCGGCCUGGGCCCCAGGGGCAGCCACACACCCGUCCCUGAGCACGGCGGAGGAAAACCACCCCCAAGCCGACCACACUACCGUCCUGGAGCCACUCUGGGUCACCCCUCAUGAUCGCACAGCUUCCAUUACAAGGGGACACCCAGCAGGCUGGAGAAACGAGGUCCAGACACCGCGCCCCGGGACCUGCCUUCAGCCGACUGCGCAACAGCAGGACUGGGGCUAGACCAGCGGAAGACGGAACGCGGGGCACCGAGGAGGAAGCCGGCUGCAGAGACGGCUGCGGCCAACUUCCCUCCCGGCCCUGCUCCCAGCGUGUGAAGAGGGACCUCCCCCUGGGCCUGGAGGGACAAAGCGGGACUCCUGCCCUCAGCGGCGACAACUGUGAUAAUUCAUGGUGACAUAUAUGUAUCACAUUUAUAUCACACACACACAUAUAUAAUCAACAACAGCAUGUACUGUGUGCUCGAACCCAGUGCCUCGCUUGUUCCUGGACGUCUGGCUCCCUGACUCCGAAGGUGGUUCUUCCUCCUGCCUGUUCAGCUACCCUCACCCUCCCUUCUCACCCAUCCACCCAGCAACUAACUCGCCGACCACCUACUGUGUGCCCAGCACCGUCCCGGGAGCCGGGAAAUGCUACAAGGAACAAAAACCUUGCCGUAGGGGAAACGGGUCAUCAUCAGAUAAACAAGGACAUACGUAUUUUCUCCUCUAGGGACAAAUAAAGCAGGGUAAGGAGGGAGAGCCCGGGGGCUGCUGUUAGAGCGAUCACGGAGGACAUCUCCCAAGUGGGGACUGAGGCGUGGAGUCACCCAGGGAGCACAUCCCCCCCCUCCGCCGCCCGCCCCGGCUGCCCAUGCAGGUGCUUCCUUCUAUGCCCAGGGCAUCCCGCUGGCUGUCUUCCCCGCAGUGCGCCACACUCCGGCUUUGCAGGACACCCGGGGACGGUGUCCCGUACUCGGUGCAAGGGACCCGAGGCG